CCAAACUUGGUCAUUUAGAGGAAGUAAAAGUCGUAACAAGGUUUCCGUAGGUGAACCUGCGGAAGGAUCAUUACAGAGUGAGAGUUCCUCGUGAACUCAACCUCCCAUCCGAUGUUUAAUCAUACCUCUUGUUGCUUUGGUGGUCGAGCCGAUCUCGGUCGUGCUUGCCCACCAAUAGCCUUUAUUAAUUCUUUAUAAAUCAUGUGACUGAACUAUUUUUAUUUAAUUAAAAACAAAAACUUUCAACAACGGAUCUCUUGGUUCUGGCAUCGAUGAAGAACGCAGC
This 286-nucleotide unclassified non-coding RNA is filed under the name uncultured fungus. RNAcentral describes it as "partial contains small subunit ribosomal RNA, internal transcribed spacer 1, and 5.8S ribosomal RNA". The stretch from base 1 to 73 matches the Rfam family "Eukaryotic small subunit ribosomal RNA", at positions 1759 to 1831 of the family's 1831-position model. The record is from RNAcentral. Lineage: Eukaryota; Fungi.